This 338-nucleotide ribosomal RNA is filed under the name uncultured bacterium. RNAcentral's name for it is "bacterial SSU rRNA". It matches the Rfam family "Bacterial small subunit ribosomal RNA", at positions 183 to 507 of the family's 1533-position model. The record is from RNAcentral.
AGAUCACAUGAUUUCUUUUUGAAAGGCGGCGUAAGCUGUCGCUAAAGGAUGGACCCGCGGUGCAUUAGCUAGUUGGUAAGGUAACGGCUUACCAAGGCAACGAUGCAUAGCCGAGUUGAGAGACUGAUCGGCCACAUUGGGACUGAGACACGGCCCAAACUCCUACGGGAGGCAGCAGUAGGGAAUCUUCCACAGUGGACGCAAGUCUGAUGGAGCAACGCCGCGUGAGUGAAGAAGGUUUUCGGAUCGUAAAGCUCUGUUGUUGGUGAAGAAAGAUAGUGAGAGUAACUGCUCAUUAUUUGCCGGUAAUCAACCAGAAAGUCACGGCUAACUACGUG